UGGUGGUUCAGUGAUAGAAUUCUCGUGUUUCAUGUGGGAGACCCAGGUUCAAUUCCUGGCUA
This 62-nucleotide transfer RNA is filed under the name Loxodonta africana (African savanna elephant). It matches the Rfam family "tRNA", at positions 5 to 66 of the family's 71-position model. Rfam says of the family: Transfer RNA (tRNA) molecules are approximately 80 nucleotides in length. Their secondary structure includes four short double-helical elements and three loops (D, anti-codon, and T loops). Lineage: Eukaryota; Metazoa; Chordata; Mammalia; Proboscidea; Elephantidae. The record is from Rfam by way of RNAcentral.